GCGAACCAGCGCCGCUUCACGCCAAAGGACAUGAAACUAGCGCACAGCACGGCCGCCCCCAUGUCGAAAUACAGUUCCGGAUCUAAGGUGACCCAGUUGCGAAGUCCAGCCUUCUCGUCUGCUCGUGGAGCCUUCAGGACCAUAUUUGUCCCUGCGAAUUUGAAAACUAGACUAGAGGAAGGAACAGUGGGUUCAGGGUAGCAGAAGUCUUGGACCGUAGUAUGAUGUAUUGAAGAAAACUGGUCUUUGAAUGCAGCCCGAUCAGGGCCCUAAUCCUGAUUCCAACCCUGUGUGAUUCUGGGCACAUCACCUAAACUUUAUGAGACUCAUCAUGAAAUGGGGAUAAUUACACCUACCUCAGAGUUGUGAACUUUUUUUUUCUUUUUUUUGUUUUGUUUUGUUUUUGAGAUGGAGUCUCACUCUGUCGCCUAGGCUGGAGUGCAAUGACACGAUCUUGGCUCACUGUAACCUCCGCAACCUGGGUUCAAGCGAUUCUCCUGCCUCAGCCUCCUGACUAGCUGAGACUACAGGCGCUCGCCACCACGCCCGGCUAAUUUUUUGUAUUUUUAGUAGAGACGGAGUUUCACCGUGUUAGCCAGGAUGGUCUCGAUCUCCUGACUUCGUGAUCCGCCCGCCUCGGCCUCCCAAAGUGCUGGGAUUACAGGCAUGAGCCACCGCGCCAGGCCAGAGUUGUGAACUUUAAAUGUGACAAGGUCGGUCCUAGUACAUAGUAGUGGUUCAAUAAAUGAUACACAUAACGCACCAGAGGAAACCCCCGUUUCUGUUAAGUUCAAAGUAAGGGGUCCUCCUGGCUCAAAGUCAUCUCUUUGGGUUUGCCUUUUGCCUGUCCCCUGAGAGAAAAGGGAGAUCUGAACAUCUGGGACAUCUCAAGUCAGUCCAUUUCUCCAGCUGCCAUGCUCCCGCUGUAACCCAAAUUGUCAUAUUUUGUCAGUUUAAUUGCAGCAGACAUCCAGGUGGUCUCUGCAUUCCCCUCCAGUGUGUUCUCAGCCCCUUCUCCCAUGCCCCACCCGUUUAUAUGUUCUCAUAACAUCAGCUACCUUCCUUUGAAUCACUUGGCACGGUGGCAAUUAGAUAGAUAGAUAGAUAUAGAUAUACACACACACACACACACACACACGUAUAUAUAUCUGCUUUACAUAUAUAUGCUUUUUUUUAUUUUUGAGACAGGGUCUCACUGUGUCACCCAGGCUGGAGUGCAGUGGUGCGAUCUUGGCUCACUACAGCCUACACCUCCCAGGUUCAAGCGAUUCUCCUGCCUCAGCUUCCCAAGUAGCUGGGAUUACUGGCGCUUGCCACCACACCCGGCUAAUUUUUAUUUUUAGUGGAGACAGGGUUUCACCAUGUUGGCCAGGCUGCUCUCGAACUCCUAACCUCAAGCGAUCCACCCGCCUUGGCCUCCCAAAGCGCUAGGAUUACAGGCGUGAGCCACCACACCCAGCCAAUAUAUUUGUGAUUAUUUUAUUGACAAUCUUCCCCUACUAGAUCGCGAGCUCCCUAAGCACAAACACGGUGCCUGGGUUUCUGUUUACUGUUUACAGAUGCUCCUUGACUUGUGAUGGAGUUAUAUCCUGAUAAACCCAUCAUAGGUUGAAAAUACUGUAAGUUGAAAAUGUGUGGCUGACUGGAAGCUGUGGCUUGCUGACACUGCCCAGCAUUGUAAGAGAAAUACAGUUUCCACUGAAUGCAGAUCUGCUUUCGCACCAAUGUAAAGUUGAAAACUCCAAUGCUGGGAACCAUCUGUAGUAUACAGGAUGCCCUCAGGAAAUAUGUGCUGUACAGAUAAAUGAAAAGGUGUUGGGUCGGGCGCGGUGGCUAAUGCCUGUGAUCCCAGCACUUUAGGAGGCCGAGUCGGGUGGAUCACGAGGUCAGGAGUUCAAGACCAGCCUGGCCAAGAUGGUGAAACCCCGUCUCUACUAAAAAUACAAAAAUUAGCCAGACGUGAUGGCUGUAAUCCCAGCUACUCCGGGCUCCUGUAGUCCCAGCUACUUGGGAGGCUGAGGCAGGAGAAUCGCUUGAACCUGGGCGGCGGACCUUGCAGUGAGCCGAGAUCACGCCACUGCACUCCAGCCUGGGCGACAGAUUGAGACUCUGUCUCAAAAAAAAAAAAAAAAAUUCCCACCAGGCUGGGUGUGGUGACUCACGCCUAUUAUCCCAGCAGUUUGGGAGGCCAAGUGGGGGUUGGAUCACCUGAGGUCAGGGGUUCGAGACCAGCAUGGCCAACAUGGUGAAAACCCAUCUCUACUAAAGAUACAAAAAAUUAGGCUGGGCACGGUAGCUCAUGCCUGUAAUCCCAGCACUUUGGGAGGCCAGGGAUCACGAGGUCAGGAGAUCAAGACCAUCCUGACUAACACAGUGAAACCCCGUCUCUACUAAAAAUACAAAAAAAUUAGCCAGGAGUGGUGGCAGGAGCCUGCAGUCCCAGCUACUCGGGAGGCUGAGGCAGGUGAAUAGCGUGAACGCAGGAGGCAGAGCUUACAGUGAGCCGAGAUCGCGCCACUGCACUCCAGCCUGGGUGACAAGGUGAGACAACGUCUCAAAAAAAAAAAAAAAAAAAAAGCCGGGCAUGGUGCGAGGCACCUGUAAUUCCAGCUACUUGGGAGGCUGAGGCAGGAGAAUUGCUUGAAUCUGGGAGACAGAGGUUGGAGUGAGCCAAGUUCGCGCCAUUGCACUCCAGCCUGGGCGACAAGAGCGAAACUCUUGUCUCAAAAAAAAAAAAAAAAAAUUCCCAACCAGCCAGUGAAAGGUGGGCAAUAAAACCCCUUUUCACAUUUCAUUUUAAACCGGCCACUAGGGGCGGGCAUGGUGGCUCACACCUGUAAUCCCAGAACUUUGGGAGGCAGAGGCACGGGUGGAUCACUUGAGGCCAGAAGUUCGAGACCAGCCUGGCCAACAUGGCAAAACCCCAUCUCUACUAAAAAUUAGCUGGGCAUGGUGGCGGGAGCCUGUGAUCCCAACGAUUCAGGAGGCUGAGGCAGAAGGAUCGCUUGAACCUGGGAGGAGGUAGUUGCAGUGAGUCGAGAUCGCACCACUGCACACCAGGCUGGAUGACAGAGCAAGAUUCUAUCUCAUAAAUAAACAAACACAGUCACUAGGAUAAGGUCUGGGUAAAUCAGAAAGACCAUGAGAAGCCAGGCAUGGUGGCCCACAUCUGUAAUCCAGCUACGCAGGAGGUUGAGGCAAGAGGAUUCCUCGAGGAGUUUGAGGCUGCAUUGAGCUAUGAUUGCACUAUUGCACUCCACCCUGGGUAACAAAGCAAGACCCCCAUCUCUAAAAAGUAAAAAAACACGAGAGAGGAACAUAUAGAUGCAAAGAACUAGGGAAUGAGAUUGUAUACGUGUAUGUUGGAGGGUGGGGAGGUCUCUAGGCAAGGAGAAUGAGAAAAAGUCUGGGUUAAAGGUAAUUUUGUCUAUCUCUACCCACCAGUGACAACCACACAAAACAAAUUUCCUUUACCACAAUAUAGGCACAUAGUACAGAAUCAACUUUCCAGUUGGUUUUAUUUUUCCAGUCUCCUCACCUCUCCAUUUCAAAUGGCUGAGGUGUACAGCCCUAAAGUGUUGACGAGGACCAGAACCAGGAUUGUGUACAACAUGUCCAUAAAAUAGUCCUAGGAGUCUGCCUGGGUUGUCCCUAUAGGCACAAUGCCCCACCCUCCCAUCAUAACCUUAGCAAGCAGUUUCCAAUCAAGUCUCCAGCAGCAGUGGCCAGGGAUUUGUGUCAGGGGGAGGGGAAGAUUGGAUUGAGGAAGCUUGCCUUGGUACCCACUGCGCCCCUUCUCAGGGCUGAAGUCCCUCUCUACCUUUUCCUGCUCUUUCCUCUUUCCCAGAGGGAUACUGAGAAGGGAAGGACCUGGGGCCAAAUCCUCAUUUCUAGGGUUGGGACAGAUGCUGGCAUGCUAUCAGGCCAGAAGAGGGGGAUGGGUGGGUGGCCUGGCCCCUGAGAAAUGAACACAGCCAUUUGUCCCUGUGGUCCCCCCACUCCCAGUUCCUCCUACCCCUGCCUAGUGUUCUGUGCGAGAGACGAGUGGAGAAGAAAAGGCACACAUGCAAUACCUUUAAGGGUAAACAAGCUUUAUCCCACAUAAAUGGCAAUGCAGAUAUAAUAAGCAAAUGAUAUAACAAGCAAGUUCAAUGGGAAGGGGAGAAAGGAAAAGAGAUAUAUGUAUUUACACUCACCAGACUAUGGAGGAUUCACCACCAGACUGGGAAGCAACAGCAACAGCCUGGGCUCGAGAGUCGGACACUGCACUCACCAGACUAUGGCGGAUUCGCCACCAGACUGGGAAACAACAGCCUGGGCUCCAGAGUCGGCCACUCGUCCGUGCACAGACGAGGAGAGGUCUCAUGAAGCUUCGGCACAAUCUAGGACCCUAGCUCUUUUGUAAUGAGUUGUUUGGCAUGAGCUCCAGGCACGAGGGCCCUUCGUGACCAGGCUCAAGGAACACAAAAAGGUCAACUUGUUUUUGCGAUUGUCUGUUGUUUUUCAAUAACUAACAUAUAGGAAUAGAUUGAAAUAGAGAUUUAUCUGAAACAGCGCUGGAUGAAUGCCUCAACGGACUCACACAACCCGUUCCGGGACUUGGUGACCAUUGUUUGUGUCCAUGUUCAAUUGAGUUCAAAUUUAAUAUUUAACUUUUCCUCCACAUUUGGCCUCAAUCUGAUACUCAACUGUAGGAAAAUACUCUUACGGAUACACAGGGAAGCCACAAUUGAUAUAGAUUACAGAUACAGGGUAAGCACAGGAGAACUAAAAGCAUAAUUAAUAAAAACCACACCCCUCAUGGCUUUGCAAGGAGAUUCAUAUUGUGAGAAUUGUCAGGGAUAUACACAUAACAUUCAGGAUGCAGUAAGGGGCAAACCUUUCCUUGGGCUGCGGUAAGCAAACCUAAUGCCAUUUGACUUUGCAACAUGACAGUACAGAGCUGAGCAAAUUUAUCUGAUUACAACAUAAGUUCCAUGCUACUAUCAUUAAGAGCUUUUUCUACAUGUAAGCUGAAUGUUUGAAUUUGUUGCUGAAGCAGGAUUGUACCGGUGGCAGGGGAGAAUACUGUGAUAGGGUACCGUCACCAGGGAGUCCGGCGCAUUCAUAACCAGCAAUGUUUGUAAGCAUCUAGAUUACUGGGGAGAGAAAUAUUAUCCCAGAUGGUGAAUGGAAUUAAUGGCCACCCCCAAGUGUGUCUCCCCGUCCAAGCAGGUAUUGCCACCUGUAGGAUUUGCAUACCUAGAGGGCCCCCCAGGGAACAAGAAGAGUUCUACUAUAAUUGUAUCGCUGUAAUGUGUAAUUGAAGUAACAAAGGUGCUGUGUUUUGUUUGGGCUUGGGCAAAAAUAGACUGUUUGGUUAAAAGAAGUCCAGGUUGGAUUACAAGUGUUAUCCCGGGCCAGGCGCGGUGGCUCACACCUGCAAUCCCAGCACUUUGGGAGGCCGAGGAGGGCGGAUCACCUGAACUCAGGAGUUUGACAUCAGCCUGGGCAAUACGGUGAAACCCCAUCUCUACUAAAAAUACAAAAAAUUAGCCAGGCGUGGUGACAUGCACCUAUAAUCCCAGCUACUUGGGAGGCUGAGGCAGGAGAAUCGCUUGAACCCAGGAGGCAGAGGUUGCACUGAGCCAAGAUCGUGCCACUGCACUCCAGCCUGGGCGACAGAGAGAGACUCUGGCUCAAAAAAUCAAAACAAAACCAAGUGUUAUCCCACUCCCAUUGGUAUUGGCAUAUCCAUUCAGAAAUGUUAGCAGGGACAAUUCUCCAAGGUAGCCCAUUCCCAGCGGCCUCUGGCAACUCAACACAGAGCCAGCACUGACUGCAGUUGGCUUCUAUUGCAGCAGUGGCUACCCAGUUGAUGAACUCAUUCUCAGCCUCAGACAUGGUGAUCCAGGUGCUGAUUACUAGCAGACAGGUUAUUCUCUGUAAUAACAAAAAUGGAGGGGAACAUGAUACUGUUUUUCAUCUUUAGGAAAUUGUACUGUGCCUUCAUAUUCUGCUCCAAUAGCUACAAGGUCAGCAGUCUUAGGGGCAGGAUCUGAUGGACACUGUACCCAUAUUUUAGCUCCAGGAUUUAAGUUGCCCACUCUGGUGGACCUGAAUGUUCCGUUCUAUAUGUUGUUUCUAUUGGGGUGGAAAUUUCCUCGGGGGUUGACAAGAUACCACUAACAAUUGAGCAACCUGCAUCUGCAGUUUUAUAGCAAAAGAAUCUGGAGUGGUAUUGUAUAAAAUGACCUUUAACUCUCCCCAGUAAUCACUAUCAAUUAUAGCACCAUACAUUAUAAUGCCUCUCAUUGCAAGGUUUGACCAUAUUGUAAUCCAUUCAUCCGCAUUCAAGUUUGCAGUUAUGGUGGAAAUUUUGGCCUGUUGAUCUGCCUGCUGAUUAAAUAGUCUGUCAAGAAAAAGCAGAGACGCAUGAGCACCAAUAUGGCAAACAGAGAUAAUGGUAGUGUGCGCAAGGAUUCAGAUAUCUUCCCAGUAUUGUUUUCCCCAAACCUCUUUAUUCCCAAUUAACCAUUUGUUUUGUUGCCAUUGGGGCAUCCUAGUAGUGAGACCGUUUGCUACUGACCAAAUUUUUUCUACAAGUGACAAAUCCCUCUGGCCUCCUCCUGAAGAGCUUCGAGGACGGCUACCAAUUCAGCCAGCUGGCUGCUCCCACCACUUCCUUCAUCAGAACUGGUGAGUUUUGGGAGAACUCAUGACCCAAGUCAUAAUCAUAAAGACAUCAUGGUUGAAGCAGAGGUGCUCCGUUUCCAGCAAAGCCCAACAGCAAGCUAACAAUUGCUUCUUGAAAGGAGUAUAAGCUUUGCCGGCCUCUGGCAGCUUCCAGGUCCAAAACUCCAAAGAUACCCUCUUCCCAUCUUGUUUCUGCCUAAGGCUCCAAUUAGCAUGUUGAUUUAGGACAGUUACUUGCAGUUCUACUGGGCCAUCACCAUAUGGACCAUAGAUCUAGGGCCAGUUGCACUGCUUGUUUAGCUUGUUCAAAAGUCAUGGUCUCUUUCUCUCCCCAGUGAAAGUCAUAGCGUUUUCUAAUGACUGCAUGCAGAGGUUGUAAAAUGUUACCCAAAUGGGGAAUAUGACGUUUCCAGAAUCCAAACAAGCCAAUUUCUGGGCUUCCUUUUUAUUGGUAGGGGUUGCAAAUUCUAGUAUUUUAUCCUUAGCCUUUGGUAAAACGGAUUAUUUCCCUUAUUCCAUAGGAUGCCAAGGAAUUUUACAGUUUGUGCAGGUCCUUGAAUUUUACUAGGGUUAAUUUCCCAUCUUUGAGAUAGGAGCUGGGUUUGUACCUGCUCCAAACCCUGGCUGACUACUUCUUCAGUACUUCUACUUCCAGUACACUGACGGGGCCACUCAAACAGAUGCUUUUUUCAUCAAUAGGCUGAUAGCUUUGAGCCUGAUCAGUCAAGACAUAGGCCUGGCAUUGGGCCAGGACCAGUCUGGAAGUCAGAUUAGCAUUUUCCUUUUCCAGCUUACAUUUCUCCUGUAGCAACCAGUCCCUAUCUUGACACAUUAACUUAUAAGCAGUAAGCAAGCACCAUCCACGCAGGGAAAUUCCCUCAGCAUCCCCUUUACCAACUGGGAUUCCCUGCAGCACUUCACGCACAAAGGUUCAAAUUGCACUAAUUUAGAUUCCCAAUUUUCACAAAGGCCAAUUCCCUUGGACCACUCAAUGGCCACGGGGAAGAACUGGGGGAGUUCCCAUCCUUGGAUAUGGGAAGUCUCCAAGCUCCCAGCCUGGUCCUUGCGGCCGCAAAAUGGCAUGCUUUUUCUUUCGGAUUCUGUUUGUGACACCAAAAAUGUUCUGUGUGAGAGACGCAUGAGGGGAGAAGAAAAGGUGCACACACAAAAUACCUUUAAGGGUAAACUAGCUUUAUCCCAUGUAAAUGGCAAUGCAGAUAUAAUAAGCGAAUGAUAUAAGCAAAUUAAUAUAAUAAGCAAGUGAUACAAUAAGCAAAUUGCAAUAGGAAGGGGAGAAGGGAAAAGAGAUAUAUAUAUAUAUUUACACUCACCAGACUAUGGAGGAUUCACCACCAGUCUGGGAAGCAACAGCCUGGGCUCCAGAGUCGGCGACUCGUCCGUGCACAGACGAGGAGAGGUCUCAUGAAGCUUCGGCGCAGUCUGGGACCCUAGCUCUUUUGUAACGAGUUGUUUGGCAUGAGCUCCAGGCACGAGGGCCCUUCGUGACCGGGCUCAAGGAACACAAAAAGGUCAACUUGUUUUUGCGAGUGUCUAUUGUUUUUCAAUAACUAACGUAUAGGAAUAGAUUGAAAUAGAGAUUUCUCCGAAACAGUGCUGGAUGAAUGCCUCAAGGGCUCACACAACCCAUUCCAGGACUUGGUGACCAUUGUUUGUGUCCAUGUUCAACUGAGUUCAAAUUUAAUAUUUAACUUUUCCUCAGACAACUGAGGAAAAGUGUUUCCUCAACUUUUCCGCAGACAACUGAGCUCCACAGACUUCUGAGGAACUUCCCUUUUCCUCUCUCACACCUUCCUCUGCUCUCCCUCCUCCAGCUGCCUUGACCUUGCUCUGCAGCACCCCUCACCUCUCCAGAAAGCUCCCCAGCUCCCCGGCUUCUUGCGGGCCCUGUCUUCGCUUGCGCUCAGCCAUCAGCACAGCCACAGCCACUGUGAGCAGCACGGUGCCUGUGAUUCCCAGCACAGUGGCAGUCUCAGCCAGGCAAAGCUGGGCCUCCACACCACUCAGCACUGCCCCUGACAGCCUUUCAGGCCCAGCGCAAGUCAGGUUGCCCAGGUCUACAACAUGCAAGUGCCGCAGGUGACCCAACUUUCCGAAGGCUCACUGCAGGUCACAGUCACAUGUCCAGGGGUUAUCGAACAACAGCAGCCGCAUGCCUGCUGUCCAGAUGCCUGCCACUGCCUUGACCUCCAGGUGCUGCAGUCGGUUACCCACGAGAGAGAAGGCCCAGUGCUCCUAAGGUUGCAAACGCCUCGGCCUCCAGCUCACUGUCAUUCCCAGCUAGAGAGAGGACUUCCAAGCCCGGCAUAGUGGUCAGGGCAGCACCCUCCACCCGCUGCAGCUGGUUCCCAGCCAGCGAGAGCCAGUGUAGGUGGAAGAGGCCCCCAAAGAUCCCUGCGGCCAGUUCAGCCAGCUGGUUGUGGCUCAGGUUGAGCUGCUUCAGGCCCUCCAGGCGCCACAGGCUGGUGGGGUCCAGGGAAGUGAGUAGGUUGUGAGAGGUCCAGGCAGAGCAGAGAGCCCAGGGUAGCCGAGAAGUCUGCGGGCAGGUGGGCCAGCUGGUUAUGGCUGAGGUUCAGCUGCUCCAGGAAACUGAGGUCCCUAGGGCCCCAUCAGACAGAUCCUGCAGGAUAUUGAGAGAAAGCAGCAACACCCACAGUCCCCAAAAGCCCUGGAAGGCGCCAGCCGGCAGAUGGCUGAGAUUAUUGUGGCUCAGCUCCAGGAGCCAGACUCCAUCAGGCAGCCUGGAAGGGAGACGGAGCAGGUGGAGGCCCCCACAGUCCACCACGCUGCCUGAGGUAGGGCAGGUGCAUGGUAUUGGGCAUGCUGCCGCCAGACUCCUGAGAAAGACUGAUGCCACCAUGACUAUAGCCAUUGUGAGGGAGGUGUGGCCACACCCACCCCGUCCUUGCUGCAUGAAGGGCUGGGGUGAGGAUGGCAUCAAGCACUCAUGGCUGCUGAGACCUUCAGGCCUCACUCCUCCGCCUGGGACCCUGGCAAGCACAGUGAUGCCAGGGGAGAAAAACACAAGUAGAUGCCAUUCAGGGGUCUCACCAUUUGCUGGGUGCCCAAACAUCAUCUCAAAGACACCCUGCCUCCACCUCCCAUGAUUUUAAAUGCUACCUAAGCUUCUGGCAAGAACCCUCUUGGCCUGAGACCCCAGCAUUCGGAUCCCCCUCCCUUAACCACCUCUCAUUCCUUCUUCCUGCUGGAUAAGGAGCAAUCAGGGAAGAUGGCCUGUAAUCCUCUGCACCUGCUUCCUCCCACCCCACACUGCAGCUCACUGACUUUCACCCCCACUCAGGCUGUUCUCUCCCUCUUACUUUCCCGAAGGAAGAGGAGCAGGAUCAUCAAUGGCACACGGCAGCUGCAGCAAAGCUACACCAACAGCCAGAGUCACGCUCAGGAGAGACUGUGCCUCCUCAUAGUUACCACUGCUCUGCAUGUUCAGAGAAGCUUAUCUCGUAACUACAGCAAUGAUCCCUGAGAGUACAGGCUUCUCACUGACUUUCUAGAGGGACCCAGGAGAAACUCUGCCUUCCCCGGCCCCCAAACAUGCACUCAAUUGCUCUCAUGCAGCCAACAUUUGUGGAGCUCCUGUUCUGCCAGAGGUCAGAGCAUCAACUAGAUCCUGGCCCUGUCUGGCCACUGAGGAUAGGGCCUCAGGCUGUGAAAAUCCAAUGCACUCAACCUGUGUUCCUGGCAACACCUGCACCUGAGUGCAGCCCCAGCCCAGGAAUGGCAGUGGAAAGAAUCUGGGCUCUAGUUUCCUGCCUAUCUGGCCUCCUCCCAGAGCCCAGCUCUCAGGGAAGCCGCAGCCCCAAGGGUGAGCAUGUGGGACAGGCUUAGGAAAUCCCCAGCCUUAUGGCCUUGCAUCCAGGGGAGCUGAGCUCACCCCCAGCCUCUUUCCUCACUUCCUUCUGGAGACCCACAACCUGCUCUGUAUCAUCAGAAUGGCAGCUUGAGGCCCCUUGGGGCCCUCCCUCAGUUCGGAUAGGAGUCAGGUGUCUCCUCCUUCAUUCUAUACUGCCGGCCUGAGAAAUCUGCCAUCAUCUAUAAUUCAUCCAGGUCUUGUCUUAGGCACAAAGGAAGGGAAUGCUUUUUCUUCUCACUAGGCCAAAAGUCAAAACACUUCAUCCUGGCACUUGAGGGGUGCCCAGCAUCUCCUGGAACACAGUAUUUGUGCCUAGUACCUCUGCCUUGCUCUAGGAGCCCAAACGUCCUGUCCAGGUUUCCCAGAGUGCUCACUAGCCCUGCCCAGUGAACUCUUAAGAGAAUAGUAACGGCCACACAGAAGGGCCAGGCAUCUCGUUAAAGGCUUCAUUUAAUCCUCAACUGAGGAAAAGAACUCUUUUUUUUUUUUUUUU
Gorilla gorilla gorilla (western lowland gorilla) is the source of this 11057-nucleotide long non-coding RNA. RefSeq lists it as uncharacterized. The record is from RefSeq and is a predicted model, not a curated record. The transcript has 2 exons. Lineage: Eukaryota; Metazoa; Chordata; Mammalia; Primates; Hominidae.